GAAGUCUCGUUCAUCAUAGUUUUGACUUGAUCGUUACCUUGUGGCAAGUUCUCCACACCUUUCUGAAAACCAUCUGCACCCCCCAGCAAUUCCCCUUGAGCAGUGCCUCCACGAUGCGACCACCUCACACCUCACUCUGGAAAGCCUUUGGAAUACCUACAGACAAACGCGGAUCAGUUACUUGUCCUGUAAGAUGCAAAGAGAGAGAGAGAGAGAGGUGCAUCACUGCUGUUUCCUGAAGCUGAAGUGUUGAGCACAUAUAUCAAAUCCAUGUAAUGGAGGAGCAUCACAUGGGAAACACAGCCUUCAAGAGAGAUUUUAAUGGCCAUCGGUGGUGCAGAGACCACGCACCAAGCAAUGCUGAUUCUCCAGAUGUGCCCAGAGGUGCCCAGGCAGCCAAGGAGGAGACACCCCUGCACUGACCCAGCACUGGAGCAUCCUUGUGGGCUGGACCGAGGGAAAUAAACGGGCAGUAAGAGCAGCUGGCACUUUGAAAAAGGAGUGGUAGGCCAGAUGGGGUCAGCAGAAAAAUAUUUAUAGUGGAAAUGGUGGAGCUUCCUUUUCACAGCUGAUUUUUGAUGUGAUUCUCUUGUCUUUAGAAAGAUGAAACUCCAGUAAGUGAUCCUGCAUCUUAACAGAGCUGUCAGCAAAUGACUUCUGUCCCAAUGUUUUGGUGCCAUUUUUCCUGAGCGGCCUGUGUAAUCGAUGGUGAAUCUUUACAUGCCCAGAGUGAGUUACUCAGAUCCAAAGCCAUUCUGGAA
This is a long non-coding RNA of Cygnus atratus (black swan), 761 nucleotides long. RefSeq lists it as uncharacterized. The transcript has 3 exons. NCBI's taxonomy places the organism in Eukaryota, Metazoa, Chordata, Aves, Anseriformes, Anatidae. The record is from RefSeq and is a predicted model, not a curated record.